GUGGGGAAUCUUGCGCAAUGGGCGAAAGCCUGACGCAGCCAUGCCGCGUGAAUGAUGAAGGUCUUAGGAUUGUAAAAUUCUUUCACCGGGGACGAUAAUGACGGUACCCGGAGAAGAAGCCCCGGCUAACUUCGUGCCAGCAGCCGCGGUAAUACGAAGGGGGCUAGCGUUGCUCGGAAUUACUGGGCGUAAAGGGAGCGUAGGCGGAUAGUUUAGUCAGAGGUGAAAGCCCAGGGCUCAACCUUGGAAUUGCCUUUGAUACUGGCUAUCUUGAGUAUGGAAGAGGUAUGUGGAACUCCGAGUGUAGAGGUGAAAUUCGUAGAUAUUCGGAAGAACACCAGUGGCGAAGGCGACAUACUGGUCCAUUACUGACGCUGAGGCUCGAAAGCGUGGGGAGCAAACAGGAUUAGAAACCCUAGUAGUCC
This 425-nucleotide ribosomal RNA is filed under the name uncultured bacterium. RNAcentral's name for it is "partial 16S ribosomal RNA". It matches the Rfam family "Bacterial small subunit ribosomal RNA", at positions 354 to 796 of the family's 1533-position model. The record is from RNAcentral.